Molecule: ribosomal RNA, 496 nt
Filed under: uncultured bacterium
Lineage: Bacteria
Description: partial 16S ribosomal RNA
Rfam family: Bacterial small subunit ribosomal RNA
Source: RNAcentral
AUGAACGCUCGCGGCGUGCCUAAUACAUGCAAGUCGAGCGAACAGACGAGGAGCUUGCUCCUCUGACGUUAGCGGCGGACGGGUGAGUAACACGUGGAUAACCUACCUAUAAGACUGGGAUAACUUCGGGAAACCGGAGCUAAUACCGGAUAAUAUAUUGAACCGCAUGGUUCAAUAGUGAAAGACGGUUUUGCUGUCACUUAUAGAUGGAUCCGCGCCGCAUUAGCUAGUUGGUAAGGUAACGGCUUACCAAGGCAACGAUGCGUAGCCGACCUGAGAGGGUGAUCGGCCACACUGGAACUGAGACACGGUCCAGACUCCUACGGGAGGCAGCAGUAGGGAAUCUUCCGCAAUGGGCGAAAGCCUGACGGAGCAACGCCGCGUGAGUGAUGAAGGUCUUCGGGUCGUAAAACUCUGUUAUUAGGGAAGAACAAAUGUGUAAGUAACUAUGCACGUCUUGACGGUACCUAAUCAGAAAGCCACGGCUAACUACGUG